This 336-nucleotide ribosomal RNA is filed under the name Anaticola crassicornis (slender duck louse). Its description in RNAcentral is "partial 12S ribosomal RNA". Lineage: Eukaryota; Metazoa; Arthropoda; Insecta; Psocodea; Philopteridae. The record is from RNAcentral.
AUACGGAUACUUAUUACAUAUGGACUAGAACUUAUAUAAUUCUAAAAAUAAAACUGAGUGGCAAUUCAUGAGCCCUAGUAGAGGGGUAUGUUCAUUAAUCGAUACUACACGAAAAUCUUACCUUCUAUUGAAUCUUCAUUUCAUACACCUCCGUCUGAAGAGUUUGUAUAAACUCCUUAACUUAUAUAGUCUUAAGUCAGGUCAAGGCAUGAAUGAUUGGAAGGGUUGAAUGUAUCUUAUUUUUCAAGUCAGCUUUAUUCUUGCAAAGAAUAAAUAAGAAAAAUUUACAAGUAACAAAUUUUUAUUAUAAUUUUGUGAAUCUGUAACUCUGUAUGU